GUCAGUGAUGAAAGCUUGAAUAGGAAGAGUUUGAUGCGACAACUGAUGAGUUUAUUCAACUACUGAGU
Oncorhynchus kisutch (coho salmon) is the source of this 68-nucleotide small nucleolar RNA. Lineage: Eukaryota; Metazoa; Chordata; Actinopteri; Salmoniformes; Salmonidae. The record is from Ensembl.